GUCAUGUCUUUUUGUCUGUAGGCGCAACAUCUCAAGCUAUUGGUCCACUUAUUCCCUUGUUCGAGUGUCCCAUUAACUACUAUGGAGAGACUUACGUUGAAGCAUUUGGGAUCGCUCUCGGGAAUGUAUUUACGCUGCUCUUUGGCAACCAAACUAGCUCUGACUUCAUGACUUUCACCUUUGAAGACCUGGUGCAACUUGUCGCUUUUGGGCCAACCUUUAUUGUUGCUGAUGAAACUUCUGAAUUUGCCCUAAAUCUGCCAGACCUUGUUGGGACGUCACCGUGCUUUUACGGUAUCGGUUUGUUUUCUUCUUCGAAUACGGUGAGUACUGUGUUUUGUAUUUCUUCAUUUUAGCUACUUGUUUG
Molecule: long non-coding RNA, 367 nt
Organism: Hippocampus comes (tiger tail seahorse)
Lineage: Eukaryota; Metazoa; Chordata; Actinopteri; Syngnathiformes; Syngnathidae
Exons: 2
Source: RefSeq, a predicted model, not a curated record